This 143-nucleotide ribosomal RNA is filed under the name uncultured eukaryote. RNAcentral's name for it is "partial small subunit ribosomal RNA". The record is from RNAcentral.
GUACACACCGCCCGUCAAGCCACGAAAGCGAGGGGCAUCCGAAGUCGCUGYGCUAACCGUAAGGGGGYAGGCGCCGAAGAUGAAACCCGUGAUUGGGACUAAGUCGUAACAAGGUAACCGUAGGUGAACCUGCAGAAGGAUCA